RNAcentral lists this ribosomal RNA (477 nucleotides) under Ramulus mikado. RNAcentral's name for it is "partial large subunit ribosomal RNA". It matches the Rfam family "Bacterial large subunit ribosomal RNA", at positions 1920 to 2610 of the family's 2925-position model. The record is from RNAcentral. Lineage: Eukaryota; Metazoa; Arthropoda; Insecta; Phasmatodea; Phasmatidae.
GAAUUAAAUGGCCGCGGUAAUUUGACCGUGCAAAGGUAGCAUAAUCAUUAGUCUAUUAAUUGUAGGCUUGUAUGAAUGGUUGGACGAAAUAUUGACUGUCUCAUUUUUAUUUUUAGAAUUUAAAUUUUAAGUUAAAAUGCUUAAAUUUUAUUAUUGGACGAGAAGACCCUAUAGAUCUUUAUUUUUUUUUUAUUAUUAUUGUUUUGUUUAUAUUUUUUAUAAUUUAUAAAAUAUUUUGUUGGGGUGACAUAAGGAUCUAUAAUUAACUCCUUAUAAUUUUAAACAUUUAUUUUUGAAUAAUUGACCCUUUAUUAUUGUAACAAGAUUUANAUACCUUAGGGAUAACAGCGUAAUUCUUUUUGAGAGUUCAUAUCGACAGGGGAGAUUGCGACCUCGAUGUUGGAUUAAGAUUAUAAUUAGGUGUAGGUGCUUAAUGGUUAGGUCUGUUCGACCUUUAAAAUCUUACAUGAUCUGAGU